CCGAAAAUAGCUCAGUUGGUAGAGCGGGAGACUGUAGAUCUCUAGGUCCCUGGUUCAAAUCCGGGUUUUCGGA
Molecule: transfer RNA, 73 nt
Filed under: Entomortierella parvispora
Lineage: Eukaryota; Fungi; Mortierellomycota; Mortierellomycetes; Mortierellales; Mortierellaceae
Also listed under: 1 other name
Description: tRNA-Tyr
Rfam family: tRNA
About the family: Transfer RNA (tRNA) molecules are approximately 80 nucleotides in length. Their secondary structure includes four short double-helical elements and three loops (D, anti-codon, and T loops). Further hydrogen bonds mediate the characteristic L-shaped molecular structure. tRNAs have two regions of fundamental functional importance: the anti-codon, which is responsible for specific mRNA codon recognition, and the 3' end, to which the tRNAs corresponding amino acid is attached (by aminoacyl-tRNA synthetases). tRNAs cope with the degeneracy of the genetic code in two manners: having more than one tRNA (with a specific anti-codon) for a particular amino acid; and 'wobble' base-pairing, i.e. permitting non-standard base-pairing at the 3rd anti-codon position.
Source: RNAcentral